GGGGCAGGGACCGGGGUGGGGGGAGGGGAGGGCAGGAGUAGGGACUCGAGGAAUCCGGGAGCGGCCAGGAGCUAGAAUUUGCCUCUGGAGUGUGACCCCUGGGGGUCCGAACUCAGCUUAGUCGGUUUACGUUGACUGACUUGUCUGAACCUCAGUUUGCUCACUUGUAAAAUGGGGAAUGUGUUGAGACCUCGCGAGGAAAGCGGACGCAAAGCGCUUGGCAAGGCGCGCAUGCGGUGCGCCAGAGGCUGCCGAGCCCGCCCAAGGCCGCCCUGCCCCGGCCCGCACCCUCACGGCGCCCGAGACCGGUUCUCUUCUAGAAGGUGUCUACGCCAUCGCUCCUUCCUCAGGCGCAGCGCCGCCGGACGUGGCGGCCAACGGCUCCUCCUGCGCCUCCCCACUGACAGCCCUGGUCUGCCCGAGCGUGCGCCCUCGCCCUUGCUCGCGUACCGGCUUCGCCAAGGGGGUCCUUUGUCCACCUCGACCUCCUCGGUGGCUGGAACCAGCCCGAUUCUGCCGCCUCCAGGAGGGAGGAGCCCGGGGGGUGGGGCGAGAAGCGGGACACCUCCCAGCUUCAUCCAGCGCCCAGGCUCUGAUCAGCCUCCCCAAGGUGCCAGCUGCGCCCAGUGCCAAGACAGGCCCACGGCCACUAACUGCUCUUGGCAACCGUCGAAGCGCCCAAGCAACCUCCGGUACGGGGCCUCAGGCCUCUUGCAAAUCUGAGAAAAUUUAGGCUCCUCCUUCCCUCCCCGCUCUGUCUCCUUUUCCCGGGUUAGCGGCGAGAGAUCAGCGGGAUCCCACAAAGCAGGUUCCGCCGCUAACAGAUCCUGGGACUCGAAGCCCAGUCUGGAACUUUUCUGAGGGCGGGAGGACCUGGGGUCAGACUGCAGCGAGCUCCCAGUCAGGGAAAACCGCUUGGACAAGCCGUGUCCCUCCAGGCCAGGGAAACAGAGGGUAGUCCGAGCGCUGGCGCGGGGAUGUGACAGAGGAGUCCACGCUGGGAACUGACUCGGCCGGGCACCGGAUCGCCCUCUUGACUCUGGAAUCUGCAUCGCCCCUCCUCCACUGUCUGCUUUUGGGGUGUCUUCCAAGACCCUCCCCAGUCCCCCUCUCCUCCUUACAAAUAGACGGGCAGAGAAGGGAAGCGUGCCUUCUCAGAAACUUAAAGGUCUCUUUCUGUCUCUCUCCCCCAGGGGGUCUACACGGCCCAAAGGACAGUCUUCAGGAACUCCUAACUGUGGGGAGGGUUCUGCUCCCCUUAACCCCCAUCCCCCCCCCCCACCCAUGCACUUGUUCUUGGAUGAGGGGAGGGUUAAGGACAGGGAGGGUUAACUGAUCACUGAUAACUCAUGUCAGUCAUGUCCAACUCUUUGGGACUCCAUGGACAGUAGCCCCCCAGGCUCCUCUGUCCAUAGGAUUCUCCAGGCAAGAAUCCUGGAGUGGACUUCCAUGUCAGGGGAUUUUCCCAACUCAGGGAUCAAAACCAGGUCUCUCACAUUGCAGGCAGAUUCCUUACUAUCUGAGCCACCAGGGAAGCCCAAGUUAAGUAUCCGCCAAAUGGCCAGGAAAGGCAGAAGGUUUGGGAAGUUACAAUCCCUGUGAGGACUCCAUCUCUUGGUUUAUUAUCUCCAUCCCUCUCUAGAAUGAGGGUGAAGAGAACAAGCCAACCCUGACCCUUCAGCCUAGAAACCAUCAACUCAGCACAAUAUGGCCAGAGUUUAGGUCUGUGCCUGAGCGAUCUUGGACAUCCAAUGCCACUCCUCCUCACCCUGACUCUUCUAGCCAAAGGCGAGUGAGAUUUUCCCCUGAAGGCAAUAUUAACGUGCAGGUCAGCGUUUGGCCUGUUCGGAUGCAGUGCCUGCGGAUCCAGCCUGGAUUGGGGACUCUCACUCUCCAUAAGUCCAGACUGAAAAGCCUGCAAUCACUAACCCUACACUCUGGCUCCCUCCACCCUGAACCCCAGUGGCUAACGGGGCUUCCAUAUAGUACAGGCAGAAUUACCAAUGUUAAAUUGUGAUUUGCAUCUUUAAGGUCUUAGGGAGAAUUGUUUCAUCCUUCAUAAUGAAUGUUUGGUUGAUGAAAGUGGACAUUCAACACCUUGCUUGUGUCACUGGCAAAACAUCUGUAAGGCAAAGGGUUUUCCUUUCCAAAGACUGGGAAGCUGGUCCCAAAGCCAGCAAAGUCAGCAAAAGCAGGAUGAGAGAAGGUGCCUGUUUCCCUUUCCCCCACAAAAGUUGUCUGAGGCAAUGGGUGAUUUAAGAUAGUGGUGUUACAACUUUGCUGCAUGUUCGAAUCACCUAAAGAGGUUUAAAUCCUGAUGCUCAGGUGGCCCUCAGAUCAAGUGAAUCAGAACUUUUGAG
Long non-coding RNA from Bos taurus (domestic cattle), 2360 nucleotides. Lineage: Eukaryota; Metazoa; Chordata; Mammalia; Artiodactyla; Bovidae. The record is from Ensembl.